Mus musculus (house mouse) is the source of this 468-nucleotide long non-coding RNA. RefSeq annotates it as predicted gene, 41930. Lineage: Eukaryota; Metazoa; Chordata; Mammalia; Rodentia; Muridae. The record is from RefSeq and is a predicted model, not a curated record. The transcript is spliced from 2 exons.
CUAGAAACCAGCCUGCAAUUCCCCAUAAUCUGCCCUGGUGGAAAUUGCUGACCAGAAAGGCAGUGGAAUUCAAGUGAGGAUAAGCUGUUCUGCAAUAUCAACAGUUCUCAACUCUUCUAUGACUCCCACUGGCUCCUGGAUGUCCAAGAGCCUGAGAAUACCAUGAUCCUGGCCUCCGUGAAGGUCCAGGGAACACUGAACCAUCUGUGGUUUUCCCAUGAAUCAGACUACUCUACUUUCCCACCCUCGGAGUGGUGCCUCAGGUCUUCCCUGUAGCCUAACACUCGCCUCUGCAACAGCAUGGGAUAAGCACAGUCAUACUUCCCAUGUUCCACCUCCCCAGCUACUUUACCCUGUGGCAGAGAAGACAUGUGACCAACAAUCCAACGGUUGGGGUUUGCAGAUUUUUGGUUGUUAGUCUUCUUUUUAACAUCACUUUGCAUAUAAUUUAAAUAACCCACAUGCUAA